GAUGAAGAACGCAGUGAAAUGCGAUACGUAAUGUGAAUUGCAGAAUUCAGUGAAUCAUCGAAUCUUUGAACGCAUAUUGCGCUCUCUGGUAUUCCGGAGAGCAUGCUUGUUUGAGUAUCAGUAAACACCUCAACUCCCCUUUCUUUUUUGAAAUGGGAGCUGGACUUGAGUGAUCCCAACGCUUUUCUCACCGAAAAGUGGCGGGUUACUUGAAAUGCAGGUGCAGCUGGACUUUUCUCUGAGCUAAAAGCAUAUCUAUUUAGUCUGCCUAAAAAACAGAUUAUUACCUUUGCUGCAGCUAACAUAAAGGAGAUUAGUUCUUGUGCUGACUGAUGCAGGAUUCACAGAGACAGCUUCGGCUGGCCUUUGUAAACUCGAUCUCAAAUCAAGUAAGACUACCCGCUGAACUUAAGCAUAUCAAUAAGCGGAGGA
Molecule: unclassified non-coding RNA, 432 nt
Filed under: soil metagenome
Description: partial contains 5.8S ribosomal RNA, internal transcribed spacer 2, and large subunit ribosomal RNA
Rfam family: 5.8S ribosomal RNA (bases 1-120)
Source: RNAcentral